UGAUCAUCAAGAAAUAUUUUAUUAAACAUUCAGGAGAAAUCUAGAUUCACUUUGCCUCUCAGUUCUUGUUAUUUCUAUCCAAAAUUUAUGAAUAGGAAUUGUUCUUAGAGGACCCCUGUAACCCCUAGUGACCAAUGAUAUCUUUGCUAAUUCUCAUUUACCUCCUUUUAUUUUUUAAUUUUUAUUUAUUUUUUGGCCGUGCCUGUGGCGUGUGGAAGUUCCCUGGCCAGGGAUCAAACCCACACCACAGCAGUGAUCCAGGUCAGUGACAAUACCAGAUGCCUAACUGGCUGAGCCAAUAAGGGAACUCCUCAUACACUCUCUUUUAAAAUACUGCAUUCUAGAAAUGCUUUUUUUUUUUUUUUUUGCUCAUUUGCUUGUGUUUUUUUUUGGGGGGGGGGUUGGGGGAUCAGCCCCAAAACUCAUUUGUAGCUUUUAAAUGCAGCUUUUGCCUUUGCUGCUGAAAAUAAAAGGCAUUCUGAAAUGUCCUUUAAAAAAGCACACACAUUUUUCUGCUUUUAAUAUGGGCCCCUCUCUGACACAUUGUAAUUCCCCAAGGAUUGCCAGCAAUGCUUCCACAGCCCCAUCUGCAGUUCUUUCUGUUACCUGGGGUGUAAUUGAUUGGUAAGUGUUGGAUUUAUUCAAAGCAGCUUACUGACCUCCCCAUGGGAUCUCUUUCACUUAUCUUGGGCUUCACAUUUUCCUCUUCUUUUCCACAUGGAGAUCAUUUGCCUUGAUAGCAAAGGUAGAAGCAAAAUAGGAAUUAAAUGAUUCUGCUUUCCCCUUACCUUCUAUUAGGAUCACAUCAUUUGCAUCCUGCAAUAAGUCAAAUCCAUCCUUUUGUCACCCAACUCUAAACACAGUCUUAACUGAAUGGUCUUUGUAGAUCUCAUCAGGUUUUGUAAUCCAUGGCUUACCCUGGACUUUUUGACACUGUUUUUAUAGAUUUAAAUUUCUUUUCCCUGAUGAUCUGUUCUUCUUCCCACACAUCCUAAUGCUUCUUAUUCUCAUUUAAUUACAGAACCAAAAUAAAUUUACAAAUUGAAAAUGAUAAGAGCAAUAAAAUUCAAAUAUAUGACAUUGAUUAAAUAUGACAGAUAGAUGUUUUCCUGAAGCAUUUGUUAGACCUGCAAGUUAUGGUCUUUUAUGGUCUUUUCUACUAGGAGUAGGUCCUUUUGAGUUUGGCAGCCCUGUACAGUCUUGUGAUGGAUGUUAGCCUAAUAGUUCUUCCAGUUUUUACCCUUCAAGCUAUACAAUAUUUGUUAGUUUAAUGUGCAUGUAUAUCAUUAUUGCCUUUACUUGUGGCAGGAAUAUGCCACUUAUCCAUUAAGUCUACCGCUAUUCUCUUUUGAUUAGCUUUUAUCAAAAGCAUCAUGAGCAAAAGUACAGAUAAGAUGUUGGACCACAUGGCAAUAUCCAUUCAGAAGUUGCUUACUGAUACAUUCAGAAUAUAUUUAAUAUUUAUUUGUAUGUCUCUGAAAUGAGAUUAAAAGUUUGAAGAAACUUAUUGAGAUUUUUGUGGAUCUAUAAAAUAUGACUUAAGGAUACUGAGGAAAUCCCUGAAGCUGUACAGUCUAUAUUUGCAGCUCUGUUUAAGGAAUAUUGAUAGGGACAACCAAACCCUUUUGUAUUUUUCUAAACAUUCUGCUGUUUACUCCCCAAAUUCUAUUCCUUCCUCUUGCAGUCAUUCUUGAACUGGGCAUGUCUACUUAGGCUCUCAAAUUCCUUAGUUUUCUAUGGAGAAUUUCAAAGUCACUGGAGAUCUGAUGGCAAGUUUCUCUGCUUUUAUCUUUGGUCUACCCAAUUUAAAAGCAAGGUACAUUUGUUAGUUGUGUGGUGGGCAAGGCUCUCCCUCUCAUUUCAGAUUCAUUGCCCCGAGAGAAGCCCUAACCCAUAUGAUAGUCAUCUGUGGCUGCCUCUAUGACCUUAGCAAGAAGUCUCCAAUCAGUAGAGUAAGUCCUUGUUUCCUGCUUGAGGUUGACCACUGCUAUCUCCGACCAUUGCUGUGUUCUACCUUUUCUGUAUAAGAUGGUUAUGAAUUCUCCAUUUGAGCUUAUUUUUUCCCCUUCCAUGAAAAUACCCUCAUGAGUUCCUGCCACAGUGCUGUGGGUUAAAGAUCUGGCAUCGCCACAGGUGUGGCAUAGCUUGCAGCUGCAGCUCAGAUUCAGUCCCUUGCCCAGGAACUUCCAUAUGCCUCCGGUAUGGCCGUAAAAUAAAACAAAUUUAAAAAAAAAUUUUUUUUAAGGGAAAAGAAAAGACCCUUAAACCAUUUAUUGGUUACAGUCCCUUCCAGCUUUAUGAAUGAUCUUCUGUUGUUUCUGGAAACAUUUUCCCCUCUUAACCAGUUGGGACAUGGAGCACUAUUCCCAAGCUCUAUCACCUGCUUUGAAACUUAUCAGACACUAGCUAACAUGCCCUGUAUGGAUGAUUCUUAGACUCUGGGAGGAUGGCACUUCAUUGCAUUACCAUCAGGACAGAAAGAAAGGACUCUCCGGCUAUCUAGACUUACCCAGUAUCUGACCAAACUGGAGUCCUUUGUCGGCCUACCUACAAUUCCUACAGGAGCCCUGACAUGCAGACUUCCUCUUGCCAAGCCUGUUGAGGAAGGCUUCCUCUUUACACCUUCUCUUUAUCACAGCCUGGGAAUGGUAUUUUCUUUAUGAUAUCCUCUCCUCUUUCUUCCUCUGUUUUAUUCUUUCUUCUCUUUGCCACCAUCUUUUACAGGUUACUCACCAGCCCUGAUUAAUACAAAAGAAUAUCAGCUGUACUUUUUGAAGGAUUUCAUGAACAUCGGCUAUGAUCUCCAUACUUAUAACUUCCUGCUCAGUCCCUCCAGCUCUAUUAACCUUUCCUCUCUUCUGCUUCUCUUGGAUUUCUCUCUGGGUACACACAAUAUCAAAUCAUCCUGCAUGUAAACCCACUCUUCAAAACUGAUGGUUUGGGACAUUGGUAACUCAGUUGUGUUUUCAGGCAAAGUGUUGCUGAGGAAUUGUUUCUUCUAUAGUUGGUCUGCCUGUCAUUAGAAAUUUGACUUCAACUUCUAUAUUUAUCCUCUGGAUGCCAUUCUCUUGAUGGCAAAGUGCUGGAUUUAUCAAACUUCUCUUCUACCUACACAUGACUUAGGAAAUUUCUCUCCACCAAUUAAUCAUGAUCCUGAAAUCAGCUCUAACAACCUGGGGACCCAAAGAGAGAUCUUUGUGAGUUGUCUAAUGAGAAUCAGGAGUUCCCUUCGUGGCUCAGCAGAAACUAAUCUGACUAGUAUUCAUGAGGACGCAGGUUAGAUCCCUAGGCUUGCUCUGUGGGUUAAGGAUCUGGUGUUGCCAAGAGCUGUAGUGUAGGUCACAGAAGCAGUUCAGAUCUGGCAUUGCUAUGGCUGUGGGUAGGCCAGUGGCUACAGCUCUGAUUCAACUCCUAGUCUGGCAACCUCCAUAUGCUGUGGGUGCAGCCCUAAAAAGACAAAAACAAAACAAACAAACAUAAUAAAAUUAAAUAAAAUCAUGACCUUGUUGGGUGGUAUAAAGUUUACUUAUAUUGUUCAUCUUAUAGUCUUUAGUUUAGAUUGCCUUUGACCAAUGUCAAAUAAUCAAUUUUACCCCUAGCUCCCACCUCCAAACAGUCUGUGCCAUAGAAAAAGAACAAAUGAAUGAUUGUUAAUAAGGUUGUUAUAUCUUCCCUCAAUUUCACACAGUCAUUAAAUAUAGACUCCAAAAUUACAUUUUCUAAGUUAUGCCCUCACCAAAAUAUAUGUAAUGUAAUUAGUGGUGGAAUUUUAAGAGAUGUUAUUGUAGGAGAACCUCUUUGAGGUCUUUUCCUAAAGGAUACAGUCAAGAGUUCAGCUGGUAAUCAAAAAAAGUACCAUAUUAGAAAUUCUUUCUAAAUCAUCAGAUGGUGACCUGGCUAUACUGAAGUGCUUCAUCUGGGUGGUGAAUUCAAUAACUUUUCUGGUUGUGUUAUUUAUAAAAUGGCUUUUGCAUAUAGAUAUUCAAAUAUAUGCAGUUGGUUAUAAUCCCGGAGAAAAUAGGAGGGUGAAAUGGAUUCCUGAGUCAUUAGUACCGAGAAUUAUCUCAAACACAAUAGAUUUUCCUCAUGACAAAUCACAUAAAAUCUCCAUAGCAACUUCAUAUAAUUAUGCAUAAGAUUUCAGUGUAGUAACAAAGCUAAGCCCAGAAGAAAUUGUAAAGAAUAGUGAUAUAAGGUGAGACGGAUGUGAGGGUGGAUGGCACAUAGGAAAAUUGAAGAGGGGCAAUUCUAAGAUGUGGAAAAUGCACAAAGAACCAAAAAGAUUGUCUGCUUUGUGCUUUGGAGAAUACUGAUUAAGUCUGGAAAUUGGAGACUGGGGGCUGCACUAUAUUACUAAUAAUGCAGAGAUGCCUGCUAGAACCACCAUUGUUCAAGGAGUGUCAGUGUCAGCAUUUCCAUUAUAAUUUUUUUCUGAGUUUAUGGCAACUAUAAGAAAGUAUCUCUAGGCAAUACUUUAGAAACUAGAUUGAAAUUGAGAAAUGCUUAUAUAAUUUUUUUGAAUUUAUGAAAAUUGAGCUCUUAUAU
This 4545-nucleotide long non-coding RNA is filed under the name Sus scrofa (pig). Its description in RNAcentral is "lncRNA (ENSSSCG00000054817.1)". The record is from RNAcentral. Lineage: Eukaryota; Metazoa; Chordata; Mammalia; Artiodactyla; Suidae.